AUUUAUGAAGUUUUACAACAUUUUAUUUUCAAUAAAAAAACAGAAAUAACUUAUUUCUCAUAAAUA
RNAcentral lists this transfer RNA (66 nucleotides) under Aphrophora sp. EMHAU-2015-Zz062722. RNAcentral describes it as "tRNA-Glu". The record is from RNAcentral. Lineage: Eukaryota; Metazoa; Arthropoda; Insecta; Hemiptera; Aphrophoridae.